GCCUAGGCUAUUCUUCCCCUCGGCUUAACAAAGCCCAGGUCCUUACACCUUUUGUCUCGGCUUCAGCCGAAUCAUUAAGCUUAUCACCAGAUGCUAGAUUUCACCUAUAAAAACCCUUAGAUUUGUCCACCCAGUGUGCUACUUUUAGAAUACAGCUUGGCUCCACACUAGAUUGGGCUCUGAUUUUAGCUUUUUCGGCCAUCUUCCCCCAUGUUCCGGCAGCCGUGUCUCUUCCAACAUCUACAGCUACAUUGGAUUCCCGGAGAAGCCUUCGGAAACAGUGCUGGGCCUAACAGGCUGUGGUAGAAAGAAAAUGGUAGCCAUGCCUUCAGGACAGUUGCUACAAGACCCCUUUCCCUUUAGGGAAAAAGAAAGAAACUCUCUUCCUUUCCACUAUGAUUUGGCAAUGCUCCAUGAGGCAGUGAGGAAGGAAACGUCUCAUCAUUUCGGUGGGAAGAGGAGAAGACUAAACCUUCCAGCGACCCAAUGUUUUGCAUGCAUUUCCAUUUCUUGGCUCAUUUGCAGUGGCGGUUGGCUCGGCAUGCCAUCCAAUCAGAAUCUCCACAGGUAACCUACGUCUCAAGAUGGAGCCAGUCAUGCUAAGCUGGGCAUAGCCAACAACCCUACUGCCUUUGCCUGCUUGUUUGCCUGCUCAUUGAAAGAAGUGAAGCAAGGUGUCAUGGACUGCCCUGGGCCUGACAGAGGCACAGUCAGAGGAUUCAGACUCUGAAGACAUGGAGGAGGCUGAGACAGGGGCUGAUCUGGGGCUACCUGGAUCAGGAGUCUCAGAGGAGGCUCAGGAAGCUGCAGAGGGAGAAACAGACUCUGUGGACUCUAGGCUGCAGGUGCUAGGACCUGUUGAGCGAAAGCAGGUCAAGGAGUCUUUGAGGUGUUCUUCCAGGCUAGAAGCCAAGAGGAGAGCUAAUCGGCUUCAGCUAAAAGAAGCAGAGGCCUUUGAAAAGACCUCAAGCUGCAGAAGUUCUUUGCAGCCGACAACCAGUCUUGCAGCCUUGUUCCUGCGUUCCUUGCUCUUUGAUUCAUGGCUCUUGUUAUCUGACCCCUGGACUUGCCUUGUGACUAUGCUCUUGCCUCCGCCCUUUGCUGUGACUAACUGACUGGUAUUGUGUGACCUUCAGACCAGACUCUGAACAAUUCCUUGUGUAUUCUCCUCCUGUGCUGCUCUCAGUAGAGAAACCAUCCUUCAUCAAUAGAUCCUACAGGAUUCAAAGCCACAUUAAUAUAACAGAUACUCAACAAAAAUAUUGCAUUUGUUAGAAUAUUAUGAUGGUUUAUACACUAGCCUAUCAUCCAUAGGCCUGUGCGAUCUCCCAUCCAAGUUGAUGCCCAAGAUUAAAAAAAUCAACUCUGUUUAUGGAUUGAAAUAAAUUUAUUAUAGCUAACCAGUGGAAGCCCUGAAGGGCAGGUGCCAAACAAAGCACAAAGCAGAAGAAAUGUCUUCAAGGUAUGUACUUCUAGGAUUCUUCCACACUAAAUGUAUUUCUUCUGAUGGGUGCCGCCUGGCAUCUCCAAAACGAUCUCUUUAUGUCCAUGUAGAACAACCAUGUGAAUGAGUCUGGCUUGCCCUAUGUUUGACUGCAGAAAGGUCUUUAUUCUAUGAAGGCAUGUUCCUUUCUGAGGAACAUGAUGAAAUCAAUAUUGUAAGGGUGAAUUUGAUCAGCUUUGUCAAUUCUGGUAGUAGAACCCGCAGACAUGUGCCUUGUGUCACUCAGAAGAUCAACCACAUCCUGAAGAGCUGAAACUUUUAUAAUAAUAAUAAUAAUAAUAAUGCAUUUUAUUUAUAGCCUGCUUCUCCUUGCUGAUCGAGACAGGUUACAACAAACAAAAUAACAUCCUUCAACUUUCUUCUCCCUUGCAAUAUCCAACAGCACAUCACGAUAAAACUAUCAUCUAGAAGAAUCCAUGUUCGUCGUAUAAAAGUCUGCAGUGGAUGUGCUACCAAUCUCUCCAGUGACAAACUUUUCAGUUUUGCUCAUAUGGUUUCAAUGCAUCUGAGGCAAAGCAAUUGUAUAAACUGCUGCUGACAUUAACAAUCUCAUCAUAAAAUAUUUUUCCUGCUGAAUCCCUCAGGAGGCUCAAACUGGUGGGGCUCGCAACUAGGACCAACGUGUCAUGGAGGUUUUCUGUGCCUAAGGAGGGUAGGGUUUCCUAAAUCUAAGUCAUUAUGGUCUUUGUCCAGAACUCCCCAAAGUUGUUCCUCAGCUGCUUUAUACUCUCCUUGGCAGACACCAAAAGACAUUCUCCUUGCUGGGACUGUCAGUUACUUGCUUGAAGCAAUGUAUUUGGUGUGUCCAAAUGGCCAAACGCAAGCAUCAAGAGCUACAGCAUGAAGAAAGAAGCACAUCUCUGCAAGCUUUGCACAUAUCCGUCAGCUUUCCAACCAGCAUUUUCCCUUUCCUCACAUGCCACAUCCUCAAAGAAAUCAAUGCGCUCUCUGUAAUUAAGAGCAACUGAUUGCAACUGACAGUCUAUCUUGUAUGUUCUCCUCUCCACCUUGUAUUUUUAGAAAACCUGGCAAGACAUUUGGGU
Long non-coding RNA from Sceloporus undulatus (fence lizard), 2547 nucleotides. RefSeq lists it as uncharacterized. NCBI's taxonomy places the organism in Eukaryota, Metazoa, Chordata, Lepidosauria, Squamata, Phrynosomatidae. The record is from RefSeq and is a predicted model, not a curated record. The transcript has 5 exons.